Molecule: ribosomal RNA, 240 nt
Filed under: Lactobacillus delbrueckii
Lineage: Bacteria; Bacillati; Bacillota; Bacilli; Lactobacillales; Lactobacillaceae
Description: partial 16S ribosomal RNA
Rfam family: Bacterial small subunit ribosomal RNA
Source: RNAcentral
UUAUUUGACGGUAAUCAACCAGAAAGUCACGGCUAACUACGUGCCAGCAGCCGCGGUAAUACGUAGGUGGCAAGCGUUGUCCGGAUUUAUUGGGCGUAAAGCGAGCGCAGGCGGAAUGAUAAGUCUGAUGUGAAAGCCCACGGCUCAACCGUGGAACUGCAUCGGAAACUGUCAUUCUUGAGUGCAGAAGAGGAGAGUGGAACUCCAUGUGUAGCGGUGGAAUUAGCAGUAGGGAAUUCC